Molecule: ribosomal RNA, 254 nt
Filed under: uncultured bacterium
Lineage: Bacteria
Description: partial 16S ribosomal RNA
Rfam family: Bacterial small subunit ribosomal RNA
Source: RNAcentral
UACGUAGGGUGCGAGCGUUAAUCGGAAUUACUGGGCGUAAAGCGUGCGCAGGCGGUUUUGUAAGCCAGAUGUGAAAGCCCCGGGCUUAACCUGGGAAUGGCAUUUGGGACUGCAAGGCUGGAGUGUGGCAGAGGAGACUGGAAUUCCUGGUGUAGCAGUGAAAUGCGUAGAUAUCAGGAGGAAUACCGAUGGCGAAGGCAGGUCUCUGGGCUGACACUGACGCUGAGUGCGCGAAAGCCAGGGGAGCAAACGGG